Molecule: ribosomal RNA, 376 nt
Filed under: uncultured bacterium
Lineage: Bacteria
Description: bacterial SSU rRNA
Rfam family: Bacterial small subunit ribosomal RNA
Source: RNAcentral
UACGGAGGGGGCGAGCGUUGUCCGAAUUCACUGGGCGUAAAGCGCGCGUAGGCGGGUUAUUAAGUUAGGGGUGAAAUCCCGAGGCUCAACCUCGGAACUGCCUUUAAAACUGUUAGCCUGGAGGUAUGGAGAGGGAAGUGGAAUUCCUGGUGUAGCGGUGAUAUGCGUAGAUAUCAGGAGGAACACCCGUGGCGAAGGCGGCUUCCUGGCCAUAUCCUGACGCUGAGGUGCGAAAGCUAGGGUAGCGAACGGGAUUAGAUACCCCGGUAGUCCUAGCCGUAAACGAUGGAUACUAGGUGUUAUAGGUAUCGACCCCUGUAGUGCCGGAGCUAACGCAUUAAGUAUCCCGCCUGGGGAGUACGACCGCAAGGUUGAA